RNAcentral lists this ribosomal RNA (306 nucleotides) under uncultured bacterium. RNAcentral describes it as "bacterial SSU rRNA". It matches the Rfam family "Bacterial small subunit ribosomal RNA", at positions 335 to 632 of the family's 1533-position model. The record is from RNAcentral.
ACUCCUACGGGGAGGCAGCAGUGAGGAAUAUUGGUCAAUGGGCGCAAGCCUGAACCAGCCAUGCCGCGUGCAGGGAAGACUGCCUUAUGGGUUGUAAACUGCUUUUUAUAUGGGAAGAAACCCCUCUACGUGUAGAGGCUUGACUGGUACCCAUAAGAAUAAGCACCGGCUAACUCCCGGUGCCAGCAGCCGCGGUAAUACGGAGGGUGCAAGCGUUAUCCGGAAUCAUUGGGUUUAAAGGGUCCGCAGGCGGUCAAUUAAGUCAGAGGUGAAAUCCUAUAGCUUAACUAUAGAACGCCUUUGAUA